GAUGAACGCUGGCGGCGUGCCUAAUACAUGCAAGUCGAGCGAACAGACGAGGAGCUUUCUCCUCUGACGUUAACGGCGGACGGGUUAGUAACAAGUGGAUAACCUACCGAUAAAACUGGGAUAACUUCGUGAAACCGGAGCGAAUACCGUAUAAUAUAUUGAACGGGAUGGUUCAAUAGUAAAAUACGGUUUUCGUGUUACUUAUAGAUGAAUCCGCGCCGCAUUAGCUAGUUGGUAAGGUAACGGCUUACCAAGGCAACGAUGCGUAGCCGACCUGAGAGGGUGAUCGGCCACACUGGAACUGAGACACGGUCCAGACUCCUACGGGAGGCAGCAGUAGGGAAUCUUCCGCAAUGGGCGCAAGCCUGACGGAGCAACGCCGCGUGAGUGAUGAAGGUCUUCGGAUCGUAAAACUCUGUUAUUAGGGAAGAACAAAUGUGUAAGUAACUAUGCACGUAUUGACGGUACCUAAUCAGAAAGCAACGGCUAACUACGUG
RNAcentral lists this ribosomal RNA (497 nucleotides) under uncultured bacterium. RNAcentral describes it as "partial 16S ribosomal RNA". It matches the Rfam family "Bacterial small subunit ribosomal RNA", at positions 28 to 507 of the family's 1533-position model. The record is from RNAcentral.